AAGUCGUAACAAGGUUUCCGUAGGUGAACCUGCGGAAGGAUCAUUACAAUACGUUUCCACACGUAAACCAAACGUUGAACUGUACAAGCGUCCGAUAGGAAAUGGGGUUCAUGGGCCGGCGGCUUUGAGGUGGAUACACCAAACACAAAUCAAACUUCGGUUUGAAAGGUGAUCGAAAGUGCCUCGGUCGGUUCUUUUUCCGGUGUUGCUCGAGUUUCGCACUCGCAAAACGGAAAAGCCCUUUUCCUAGUUCGCGUAUUUUAUCCAUUCAAACACUUUUGCAUCGCCUUUUUUUCUUUUUAACCCCUUUCACCUUUUUUACUUCAACAUUAUUGAACUGAUUUCGAGCUGCUUAACCGCGCUCGAUCAUUUUUACGAAACGUAAGAACAACUCUUAACAACGGAUAUCUUGGCUCUC
This 418-nucleotide unclassified non-coding RNA is filed under the name fungal sp. RNAcentral's name for it is "partial internal transcribed spacer region". The stretch from base 1 to 46 matches the Rfam family "Eukaryotic small subunit ribosomal RNA", at positions 1786 to 1831 of the family's 1831-position model. RNAcentral also lists the same sequence under 1 other name. The record is from RNAcentral. Lineage: Eukaryota; Fungi.